GAACGCUGGCGGCGUGCCUAACACAUGCAAGUCGAGCGAGAAAGUUCCCUUCGGGGAGCGAGUACAGCGGCGAACGGGUGAGUAACACGUAGGUAAUCUACCUCCAAGUCUGGGAUAACUUGUCGAAAGACGGGCUAAUACCGGAUAAGACCACGAAGGCUUAGGCCUUUGUGGUAAAAGAUGGCCUCUGCUUGCAUGCUAUCACUAGGAGAUGAGCCUGCGCGCCAUUAGCUUGUUGGUGGGGUAACGGCCUACCAAGGCGAAGAUGGCUAGCUGGUCUGAGAGGAUGGCCAGCCACACUGGGACUGAGACACGGCCCAGACUCCUACGGGAGGCAGCAGUGGGGAAUAUUGCGCAAUGGGCGAAAGCCUGACGCAGCGACGCCGCGUGGGUGAUGAAGGCCUUCGGGUCGUAAAGCCCUGUCGGGAGGGAAGAAACCUCGGCGACCCAAUACGUCGUCGACCUGACGGUACCUCCUAAGGAAGCACCGGCUAACUCCGUG
This 502-nucleotide ribosomal RNA is filed under the name uncultured bacterium. Its description in RNAcentral is "bacterial SSU rRNA". It matches the Rfam family "Bacterial small subunit ribosomal RNA", at positions 31 to 507 of the family's 1533-position model. The record is from RNAcentral.